CUGAACCAGCCAAGUAGCGUGAAGGAUGACUGCCCUAUGGGUUGUAAACUUCUUUUAUAUGGGAAUAAAGUGAGCCACGUGUGGCUUUUUGUAUGUACCAUACGAAUAAGGAUCGGCUAACUCCGUGCCAGCAGCCGCGGUAAUACGGAGGAUCCGAGCGUUAUCCGGAUUUAUUGGGUUUAAAGGGAGCGUACGCGGAUUAUUAAGUCAGUUGUGAAAGUUUGCGG
Molecule: ribosomal RNA, 227 nt
Filed under: uncultured Bacteroides sp.
Lineage: Bacteria; Pseudomonadati; Bacteroidota; Bacteroidia; Bacteroidales; Bacteroidaceae
Description: partial 16S ribosomal RNA
Rfam family: Bacterial small subunit ribosomal RNA
Source: RNAcentral